This is an unclassified non-coding RNA of Calidris pygmaea (Spoon-billed sandpiper), 147 nucleotides long. NCBI's taxonomy places the organism in Eukaryota, Metazoa, Chordata, Aves, Charadriiformes, Scolopacidae. The record is from Ensembl.
CUCAGAGAGUUGGAAACUGAAGUAAUUCUAUUUAUGACAGUUCAAUUAAAGUUCAAGCUCCCCUGCUUCAGCUCUGGCCUAGAAAAAUCUGCUGUCUCUUAUGGCAGAAUAAGUUUAGGUUCCAUGUCAACUCAGUAAUGGCCUUUU